AUUGAACGCUGGCGGCAUGCCUAACACAUGCAAGUCGAACGAGUGGCGGACGUGUGAGUAAUGUUUGGGAAACCGCCUGAUGGAGGGGGUUAACUACUGGAAACGGUAGCUAAUACCGCAUACCAUCAGAUGUGCCCAGAGGGGAUUAGCCAGUUGGUGGGGUAACGGCUCACCAAGGCGACGAUCCCUAGCUGGUCUGAGAGGAUGACAGGCCACACUGGAACUGAGAAACGGUACAGACUCCUACGGGAGGCAGAAGUGGGGAAUAUUGCACAAUGGGCGCAAGCCUGAUGCAGCAAUGCCGCGUGUAUGAAGAAGGCCUUCGGGUUGUAAAGUACUUUCAGCGGGGAGGCGUUACCCGCAGAAGAAGCACCGGCUAACUCCGUGCCAGCCGCCGCGGUAAUAC
Molecule: ribosomal RNA, 406 nt
Filed under: uncultured bacterium
Lineage: Bacteria
Description: partial 16S ribosomal RNA
Rfam family: Bacterial small subunit ribosomal RNA
Source: RNAcentral